Molecule: ribosomal RNA, 924 nt
Filed under: Paragnomonia fragariae
Lineage: Eukaryota; Fungi; Ascomycota; Sordariomycetes; Diaporthales; Sydowiellaceae
Description: eukaryotic LSU rRNA
Rfam family: Eukaryotic large subunit ribosomal RNA
Source: RNAcentral
ACCCGCUGAACUUAAGCAUAUCAAUAAGCGGAGGAAAAGAAACCCAACAGGGAUUGCCCUAGUAACGGCGAGUGAAGCGGCAACAGCUCAAAUUUGAAAUCUGGCCUCGGCCCGAGUUGUAAUUUGCAGAGGAUGAUUUUGGCGCGGUGCCUUCCGAGUUCCCUGGAACGGGACGCCACAGAGGGUGAGAGCCCCGUAUGGUCGGACACCAAGCCUUUGUAAAUCUCCUUCGACGAGUCGAGUAGUUUGGGAAUGCUGCUCAAAAUGGGAGGUAAAUCUCUUCUAAAGCUAAAUAUUGGCCAGAGACCGAUAGCGCACAAGUAGAGUGAUCGAAAGAUGAAAAGCACCUUGAAAAGGGGGUUAAACAGUACGUGAAAUUGUUGAAAGGGAAGGGCUCGUGACCAGACUUGUGCCAGGCGGCUCAUCCGGCGUUCUCGCCGGUGCACUCCGCCUGGCUCAGGCCAGCAUCGGUUCUUGCCGGGGGAUAAGAGCUUCGGGAACGUGGCCCCCUUCGGGGGGUGUUAUAGCCCGUUGCACGAUGCCCUGGCGGGGACCGAGGUUCGCGCUCCGCAAGGAUGCUGGCGUAAUGGUCACCAACCACCCGUCUUGAAACACGGACCAAGGAGUCGUCCAUCAGAGCGAGCGUUUGGGUGUAAAACCCGCACGCGUAAUGAAAGUGAACGCAGGUGAGAGCUUCGGCGCAUCAUCGACCGAUCCUGAUGUAUUCGGAUGGAUUUGAGUAAGAGUUUUGCUGGACGGACCCGAAAGACAGUGAACUAUGCUUGUAUAGGGUGAAGCCAGAGGAAACUCUGGUGGAGGCUCGCAGCGGUUCUGACGUGCAAAUCGAUCGUCAAAUAUGAGCAUGGGGGCGAAAGACUAAUCGAACUGUCUAGUAGCUGGUUACCGCCGAAGUUUCCCUCAGGA